RNAcentral lists this transfer RNA (72 nucleotides) under Camelus dromedarius (Arabian camel). It matches the Rfam family "tRNA". Rfam says of the family: Transfer RNA (tRNA) molecules are approximately 80 nucleotides in length. Their secondary structure includes four short double-helical elements and three loops (D, anti-codon, and T loops). Further hydrogen bonds mediate the characteristic L-shaped molecular structure. tRNAs have two regions of fundamental functional importance: the anti-codon, which is responsible for specific mRNA codon recognition, and the 3' end, to which the tRNAs corresponding amino acid is attached (by aminoacyl-tRNA synthetases). tRNAs cope with the degeneracy of the genetic code in two manners: having more than one tRNA (with a specific anti-codon) for a particular amino acid; and 'wobble' base-pairing, i.e. permitting non-standard base-pairing at the 3rd anti-codon position. The record is from Rfam by way of RNAcentral. RNAcentral also lists the same sequence under 1 other name. Lineage: Eukaryota; Metazoa; Chordata; Mammalia; Artiodactyla; Camelidae.
AAGGGUAUAGCUCAGUGGUAGAGCGCAUGCCUAGCACGCGUGAGGUCCUGGGUUCAGUCACCAGUGCUCCCG